UGUGGGAGCUGGCUUGCCUGCGAUGCAGGCACCUCGGUCAUUCAGCGAGACCGAGGUGAUGCUAUCGCGGGCAAGCCCGCUCCCACA
Molecule: non-coding RNA, 87 nt
Filed under: Pseudomonas tolaasii NCPPB 2192
Lineage: Bacteria; Pseudomonadati; Pseudomonadota; Gammaproteobacteria; Pseudomonadales; Pseudomonadaceae
Source: RNAcentral